This 257-nucleotide ribosomal RNA is filed under the name uncultured bacterium. RNAcentral describes it as "partial 16S ribosomal RNA". It matches the Rfam family "Bacterial small subunit ribosomal RNA", at positions 524 to 776 of the family's 1533-position model. The record is from RNAcentral.
UACGAAGGGGGCUAGCGUUGUUCGGAUUUACUGGGCGUAAAGCGCACGUAGGCGGAUCGUUAAGUCGGGGGUGAAAUCCUGGAGCUCAACUCCAGAACUGCCUUCGAUACUGGCGAUCUUGAGUCCGGAAGAGGUGAGUGGAACUCCUAGUGUAGAGGUGGAAUUCGUAGAUAUUAGGAAGAACACCAGUGGCGAAAGGCGGCUCACUUGGUCCGGGUACUGACGCUGAGGUGCGAAAAGCGUGGGGAGCAAACAGG